GUUGACGUAGCUUAAUGUUAAAGCACGGCCCUGAAGCGGCCACGAUGAGGCCCCCGCCCCCAUCAACA
Molecule: transfer RNA, 68 nt
Filed under: Quedenfeldtia trachyblepharus (Atlas day gecko)
Lineage: Eukaryota; Metazoa; Chordata; Lepidosauria; Squamata; Sphaerodactylidae
Description: tRNA-Phe
Rfam family: tRNA
About the family: Transfer RNA (tRNA) molecules are approximately 80 nucleotides in length. Their secondary structure includes four short double-helical elements and three loops (D, anti-codon, and T loops).
Source: RNAcentral